AAAUAGAUACCCGGGUAGUCCAUGCCGUAAACGUUGGGCGCUAGAUGUGGGGGACCAUUCCACGGUUUCCGUGUCGCAGCUAACGCAUUAAGCGCCCCGCCUGGGGAGUACGGCCGCAAGGCUAAAAACUCAAAGGAAUUGACGGGGGCCCGCACAAGCGGCGGAGCAUGCGGAUUAAUUCGAUGCAACGCGAAGAACCUUACCAAGGCUUGACAUAUACGAGAACGCUGCAGAAAUGUAGAACUCUUUGGACACUCGUAUACAGGUGGUGCAUGGUUGUCGUCAGCUCGUGUCGUGAGAUGUUGGGUUAAGUCCCGCAACGAGCGCAACCCUCGUUCUAUGUUGCCAGCGGUUCGGCCGGGAACUCAUAGGAGACUGCCGGGGUCAACUCGGAGGAAGGUGGGGAUGACGUCAAAUCAUCAUGCCCCUUAUGUCUUGGGCUUCACGCAUGCUACAAUGGCCGGUACAAAGGGCUGCAAUACCGUAAGGUGGAGCGAAUCCCAAAAAGCCGGUCUCAGUUCGGAUUGAGGUCUGC
This 535-nucleotide ribosomal RNA is filed under the name uncultured bacterium. RNAcentral describes it as "bacterial SSU rRNA". It matches the Rfam family "Bacterial small subunit ribosomal RNA", at positions 776 to 1308 of the family's 1533-position model. The record is from RNAcentral.